Molecule: transfer RNA, 363 nt
Filed under: uncultured Microcystis sp.
Lineage: Bacteria; Bacillati; Cyanobacteriota; Cyanophyceae; Chroococcales; Microcystaceae
Description: partial 16S-23S ribosomal RNA intergenic spacer
Rfam family: tRNA (bases 135-208)
Source: RNAcentral
AAGGGAGACCUAAUUCAGGUAGGAGACGAAAAAAAAGUAGUCCCAACCAAGAAUCAAUCCCAAAAGGUCGGAGCGAGGCGAAAUUGGCUUUCAAACUAGGUUCUGGGUUCACACAAGACCUGAAUCAGGAACAAGGGCUAUUAGCUCAGGUGGUUAGAGCGCACCCCUGAUAAGGGUGAGGUCCCUGGUUCGAGUCCAGGAUGGCCCACCUGUACAGGUGGCAAAAACAAAGAAAAGAAGCGAGGAAUCAGCACCUUAUCUUACUUAUAUAGUAAGAGAGAAUGCUGGCUCUGAGUUCAGAGUCCAGAGGAACCUUGAAAACUGCAUAGAGCUAGGUGAAAAAGCCAAAAAAGAAGACCGCAA